Molecule: non-coding RNA, 74 nt
Organism: Sciurus carolinensis (gray squirrel)
Lineage: Eukaryota; Metazoa; Chordata; Mammalia; Rodentia; Sciuridae
Source: the annotation of a RefSeq genome assembly
GCAGGGAUAUAGCUCAGUAGGCAGAGCACUUGCCUCUCAAGCACAAGGCCCUGGGUUCAAUCCCCAGCCCUGCA